UACGUAGGAGGCGAGCGUUGUCCGGAUUUACUGGGCGUAAAGGGCGCGUAGGCGGUCAGCACAAGUCAGUUGUGAAAUCUCCGAGCUUAACUCGGAAAGGUCAACUGAAACUGUGCGACUAGAGUGCGGAAGGGGCAACUGGAAUUCUUGGUGUAGCGGUGAAAUGCGUAGAUAUCAAGAGGAACACCUGCGGCGAAGGCGGGUUGCUGGGCCGACACUGACGCUGAAGCGCGAAAGCUAGGGGAGCGAACGGG
RNAcentral lists this ribosomal RNA (254 nucleotides) under uncultured bacterium. Its description in RNAcentral is "partial 16S ribosomal RNA". It matches the Rfam family "Bacterial small subunit ribosomal RNA", at positions 524 to 776 of the family's 1533-position model. The record is from RNAcentral.